CACAGCCGCAGGUGGAGAUGUUGCCGCGGGCACAGGCGGCGGUCACCGCGUACGCCGCUCCAGCACUUGCUAUCGCAUAGGUGUAUGCAGCCUCACGAGAAGCUGGAAUACGAUAUUUGGUGGCUGUGGGCUUGGGCGUUGUACUGUCAGCUUUAGUCAAAUCCCAGCCGCCAGCUGUAUUAUUAGCCAUAAUUGCGCGGAGAUGCAGAUGGAGAUGGAGAAGCUUGGCCAUCCGUCGUGACUCGCUGGAGUGUCUAAUCAAGUCGCGUUUUCUUGAGCUUCGGCUGCAGCUCCACUUGAGUUGUCGGGUUAAAUGGCGGAAUUAAUGCUGGCAGUCAAAAAUGGCAAAUGGGAUUAAUGAGUUUUGACAAUGAGUUGCAAAUUGCCAAUUUCAGAUAUUUGUCUCCUCCAAUCGCGCUGCACUGCCUCCCACCUGCCGCCCACCUGCCACCCACUCCCGAAACGUGUCGGCUGUCUAACCUGUCGACUUGCGGCUGCCAAACCAAUCAGCAUCAAACAGCUGCGGCAAUAAUCAUGCGAUCGAUCGAUCGCCUGCUCGCCUUUUGUCCAUGGACCGGGUUACAGCCAGGAAAAGCCAGAGAAACACAUCCCGGGGCCAAACAACUGGCGCACGGGUGGGCAACCCCGAUAUUAAAAUACAAAUGCAACGUAAACUUCGAUUGCCAGCCACAUGGCUACACUUGAAAAUAUAUACAUCUAUUGAAAUAAGAUAUGAUUGCUAUUCAUAUACAGGUGCAAAUAAGAAAACUAAAGGGUUUAACUUAGAAAUUCUAAACAAGUGAUUUUUGCCUGAGUAUUUAAAAUACAACAAUCAUACAGAAGUACUUAGCUUAAUCUAGAAAUUUGAUACCAUUUCUUAUCAUCAUGUGAAAAUUAGAAACUAAGCUAGUGACAUUUCCUGAUAUAUUUAAGUUUCUUCUGUAUAAGUCCACAUCCAACAUAUAUUUCUCUACGUGUCCACAAAUGUAAAUGGCUUUCGAUACCUGCCACUCGAGUGUCUCCAACUCCAGCUCCAACUUCGCUCCAAGUGGAGCUCUGGAGCUCCAGCUUACGAGGCACUCUUAAACGCAGCAAUUAAAUCAAUUUACAGAAAUUACACAUUUUACCAACCGCAGAGGAGCACGAAGACAUGAGCUUAAACCCUCGGCAAAAUGUCGAUGGUCGAACGCUGAUUUCUGAUAUGGGAUCGCUUUUGUUGUUGCAGUUUUGUCGAACACGCUGUUAACAUGGCUCAAACUGGAGUUGAGCGUCGACGAUCGACGGGGAAAUUGGUGGUUAAACUAAUAAUUAGGCCCGUUUAACAGGGCCAAAAGCAAGGCACCGCAGACCUUCAACCGGCUCUGUGGCCAAAGUUGGCCCGAAAUACGCGAUCGAUCUGUCAGCGCAUCCGCUCGACCAGUCAGUCAACCAAUCAGUCAGUCAGCCAGCCAGUCAGGCAGUCGCUCAUUCAGUCAAUAGCUUUUACGUGCGUUCGCCCAGCGUGACCGUCACGUCCCCCGCACCCCACCACGAUAAAUAUGGUGGAGGGUAUAUAGUACUCCAAAACUCCAAAGCCGGCAAUCAGACGGCCAUCUCCAGCUCUUCGCAACCCUUUUGUUUUUAGCUGCUUUAUUUAAUUUGUCGCUUGGCCCGCCCGUCUGCUGUUUGCCUGUUGCAUGUCAACGCCGACAAUUUCAUCAUCAUCAUCAUCGCCAUUACCAGAACAGAUUUCAGUUCCAGACCUAUGCACAGCGAGAAAAUUGGGCGAACUGCAAAUUUUAAUUGAGAUUCAGGUAUUUGUAUUUGUAUAUGUUUAUGCAUUUUGUGAUGCUUAACCGAGACAAUGAGGUAAAUUAUUAUGAAGUAUUAUAAAUGAAAAAUGAGAUCACAUGUGGAGCAAUGACGCUAUUUGCUGUAUAAAUCUUCAGGUAUUUAGAGCUAACUAAAUAUUAAAAAUACUUAUUAACUUUCCAGCAAACUACAGAUGUGUUACUUUCGCAUUAUUGCCCUUCUAAGAUAUUCAUUGUUUGCUCAUCUCCUUCAUUUAUGAACGUACUUGGGACAUCGUCUUCCCCUUGUUUCUCUCUGUGUAAAGCCUAUCCCAAUCCACUCCAUGAUCUUCAGGCCCUCGAAGAAUCCGAGUCACGUGUGCUUGAUUUGCGCUUUGUUUGCUGGAGUACCCCUUUAUUGUCGCAGUCCUUGGACUGCUUUACUUCUUCAUUUAUCUCUGGUUCUAUAUCGGGGUUCCCACUCGCAUCGCGACCCUUUGUGCUGCGUAAGAGCAAGGACCUGCCCUGAACUUGAUACCACUUCCGCCUCCGCCAGGCAGCCCCUUCCAGCGAAUCCCAAAUAGAGCUGGCAUUUACAAAAUGCCAAACUAGUUCCAUUGACAGUCUUAUGGCUUCUGCUGUCCGACAAAUUGGUGAUUCCUCUGGCACUAAUUUGCGCAAAAAUAUUUGCCACGACGACGUGGACUCAUUAAAAAUGGAUUAAGCCUGGUGCAUAAUUCAGCGGCAGCCGAAGCGCAGCCACUUAUGAGUUGGCCGCAAGCAGCAUAAAUGGCCAAUAACAAGCUCCAAGCCAACAGCAUCGUCAGCAUCGGCAGCAGCAGCAGCAGCAAGGAAAACUAAAAACCCAGAAACGCUAACUUAAUGCGCACUUCGGAGCCUCAUAAAAAUAUGACUUUAAUAUUUUCACGCGCAGGCGUAGCAGCCUGCUCCCCACUGCAGCAGCCGGUGAUCCCCGAUAGCCGCAAUACCCCGGCUUUAUCCACGGACGUGGGGCUAGGGCCCUGUCUUAAUUGUGCGAAUCUAGUCGACCAAAUAGUUUCGACCCACCGCUGCGCAGGCGGCUGUUGUUUGGGCCUGGCUAUCCAUGGAAACGCGAGACUUGGUCUUGACCAGUAGCGCCUCCAAUAGCAGGCAGAUAUAUAUGGCCGGCGCUCCGUCUGGUAAUUACAUGCCUUGCUGACAUGUUCAUGGCCCUCCUCGGACUCUUUUACUACUCCUCCUCCAUGGCCAUAACCGGCACACAGCCAAAGUUGGGCCAACAUUCAAGCGCCAAUUGGAGGCGGAAGCAACAAAGGCGCCUUAAUCCGGCCAAAACAAUGCGUUGGUCCAGGGAAAAAUGUUCAUUGCGGUCCCUCGAUCCCUCUGUCCCCACCCUUCAUCCCUCUGUCCCUCGGUUUUCGGGGCAUUUGAAAGUUUUGUGUGCGCUGAUAAAACAGCUUUGCUCUACAGCUGCAUGUAAAGUGGGCGGGGCUGGGAAGGAGUGGUCGGCGGUGGGAGCGGACAAACCGAAAACCCAUAAAGGCUGUUCAACAUGCCAUCAAUAAAACACAAAUAUUCCCAAGGGGGGAGCAGGGAGGAGGCGGUCGGAGGCAGCAAGGAGCAGCGGAGCGGAGCUGGGCGAACCAUGGUCAUGGCCAAGAAAAAUGUCGCUGCCACGCUCAGACAAACGGCCGGCAACAAUUGCUGGCCAUCCUGGCCACAAAAACGACGACGUAAUUGACCAGAGAAAGACAUAUGUACGGCACUGAGAGAAAAGGUGCGUGCAGGCUGGGAAAAUACCAUCAUUGAUCGAAGAAUGUGUAAGUUUGUGCGUAAGCCCAUCCAACUCUUUUUCGCCCAGUGUGCGCAUGCCGUGGCCAUGUAACAGGUAAAAGCCAAAACGGAUCGUUCGUCAUGGACAAUUGGCAGAGACCAAGUGGUCGAAUGGCCACUCAGGCAGUUAGCCAGUCGGGCAACCGCUCCCGCCCUUGCCAUCCAAUUCCCUCCCAUUCCGUCCAAUCCCAUUCCAUCCCAUCCCAUCCCAUCACGCCCUGGCAAACAGAUCAACGCAGAUAGUUUUGUUUGGGCUUUGAGGUUUGCAGUCGAUCACUCAUCCAUAGCCGCAGAAAAAUGGUAAGAGCAAAAUGCGCCAACAAUGCCAGCCGACCAGUGACCAGACCAGGCACAGAUUCCUCGACCACCGCGCCGACGGCUCCAGCACAGAGACUCAAUUCUGCAGGUUGGCCUGGGAAACGUGGAAACCUUGCAACCUGGCAGCCGGGCAACUUGCAACUGGCAACAGGCAAGAGUUUAUGCCAUUUUGGGCUUGUAAAUGCAGCCACAACUGGCGCAGAGUGAUCUUGAUCGCAAUUUGAGCGUUUGUCUGCACGUUCAUGCGUUCCAAUUGUCCAUGUAAGAGCACGAGUACGAGUACGAGAACGAGAUGUAUCUGGAGGAUGCAGCUGGUUUCCUGCCUUGAAAUUGCAGUAACCUCAAUUACACGAGCUAAGCAUUUCUGGGUUAAGACCCUUUGAAGGUUUUUGGUUUUUUUUUUUCGGUGAACUUCAGGUUCUGCUCGGCGAAGCUCUGCCCACAAGACCAGCCCACUGACAGGAAGGGAAUGAAAGCCAGAAGAGGAGCUAAAUUGGUCAAUCGAAAGUGUAUAUGCCCUUGCAGUAAAAACAAUCGUUAAAUAAUAUGUCUUUAUCUAAAACUACUAUACAGUUAGCUCAAAGAAACAUUCAACAUGAAUUAAUUUUUGCCUUAAAUGGAUUGAACUUUUAUAUUAUGAAAUUGUAUGCAACAUUUAAAGUGGAAUUUUAAAAUAAGAUAACAAGAAAUACCUUAUUUAAAAUGCGCAUUUAUAUAAAGAAAACACAACAAGUGAUUCUCGAAUUUAAGAUCAUGGAUCCUGUCCAAGCAUUUUACCAAAAUCAAAAUACCUUCAUCGAGGGUAUAAGACACAGAAAGUGGUGGGGGGAACACGCCGCGUAUCUUUGAGAUACACUCAACUUAUUGCAACUGCAACUGCAUCAAGGCAAUUAGAUAGCAGUUGAAGCACACACACAGAGACACACACAUAGCGGCAGAGGCACGUUGAUGAGUUUAUGGCAAAAAUUGAUUUCCAGUUGUCGCAGCCCCGCCUACCGCCCCAAUCCGAUUUUAGACGCGACUCUUAGCUGCUCCUCGCUACAAAUGAGAGACCGCUGUCUUUCUGUCAGUUUUGUGCCUUACUUGCUGCCUGCCAUUUAAUUGCCAAUUUUAAUGAGAUUUUUUCCAGCGUUUUCCAGCGCCCCCCGUAACUUUCGAUCGGCCAGCAACAACCAUAUAGAACGAGGCGUUACUGUUUGGGCGUUCGAUAAGGAUUUAACAUACAUCGCGCCGUGGCUUCGCAGAUAAAAUUAGCGAUCGUGUCCGGCGAUGUGCGCGAUAUGGCGAAAGGUAACGAAAGAGUUGUCAACUCGUGCAGAUCUGUCAGCGAUAAAAGGAAAGGCCGCAGGAAAUGCAAAGAAAAGCGAAUGAAAAACACAACCCAACCCAGCAGCGCCUUGGGAUCAUGGCAUAAGCAUGGCAUAACUGUUUGGCCGUUAAAGUUAAUGGGCAUACCGUUUAUGGGGCUACUAUACCUUAUUU
This is a long non-coding RNA of Drosophila simulans, 5402 nucleotides long. RefSeq lists it as uncharacterized. NCBI's taxonomy places the organism in Eukaryota, Metazoa, Arthropoda, Insecta, Diptera, Drosophilidae. The transcript has 3 exons. The record is from RefSeq and is a predicted model, not a curated record.